RNAcentral lists this ribosomal RNA (557 nucleotides) under Stagonosporopsis cucurbitacearum. RNAcentral describes it as "eukaryotic LSU rRNA". The stretch from base 181 to 334 matches the Rfam family "5.8S ribosomal RNA". Lineage: Eukaryota; Fungi; Ascomycota; Dothideomycetes; Pleosporales; Didymellaceae. The record is from RNAcentral.
GAUCCCUCCCGUUAGGGGGACCUGCGGAAGGAUCAUUACCUAGAGUUGCGGGCUUUGCCUGCCAUCUCUUACCCAUGUCUUUUGAGUACCUUCGUUUCCUCGGCGGGUUCGCCCGCCGAUUGGACAAAACUUAAACCCUUUGUAAUUGAAAUCAGCGUCUGAAAAAAACAUAAUAGUUACAACUUUCAACAACGGAUCUCUUGGUUCUGGCAUCGAUGAAGAACGCAGCGAAAUGCGAUAAGUAGUGUGAAUUGCAGAAUUCAGUGAAUCAUCGAAUCUUUGAACGCACAUUGCGCCCCUUGGUAUUCCAUGGGGCAUGCCUGUUCGAGCGUCAUUUGUACCUUCAAGCUUUGCUUGGUGUUGGGUGUUUGUCUCGCCUCUGCGCGCAGACUCGCCUCAAAACGAUUGGCAGCCGGCGUAUUGAUUUCGGAGCGCAGUACAUCUCGCGCUUUGCACUCACAACGACGACGUCCAAAAAGUACAUUUUUUACACUCUUGACCUCGGAUCAGGUAGGGAUACCCGCUGAACUUAAGCAUAUCAAAAGGCCGGAGGAACU